ACGAACGCUGGCGGCGUGCUUAACCCAUGCAGGUCGCACGGAAAGGCCCUGCUUUUGUGGGGUGCUCGAGUGGCGAACGGGUGAGUAACACGUGAGUAACCUGCCCUUGACUUUGGGAUAACUUCAGGAAACUGGGGCUAAUACCGGAUAGGAUCUCCUGCUGCAUGGUGGGGGUUGGAAAGUUUCGGCGGUUGGGGAUGGACUCGCGGCUUAUCAGCUUGUUGGUGGGGUAGUGGCUUACCAAGGCUUUGACGGGUAGCCGGCCUGAGAGGGUGACCGGCCACAUUGGGACUGAGAUACGGCCCAGACUCCUACGGGAGGCAGCAGUGGGGAAUAUUGCACAAUGGGCGGAAGCCUGAUGCAGCAACGCCGCGUGCGGGAUGACGGCCUUCGGGUUGUAAACCGCUUUCGCCUGUGACGAAGCGUGAGUGACGGUAAUGGGUAAAGAAGCACCGGCUAACUACGUG
This 467-nucleotide ribosomal RNA is filed under the name uncultured bacterium. Its description in RNAcentral is "partial 16S ribosomal RNA". It matches the Rfam family "Bacterial small subunit ribosomal RNA", at positions 29 to 507 of the family's 1533-position model. The record is from RNAcentral.